Molecule: transfer RNA, 77 nt
Filed under: Gilliamella sp. Occ3-1
Lineage: Bacteria; Pseudomonadati; Pseudomonadota; Gammaproteobacteria; Orbales; Orbaceae
Description: tRNA-Arg
Rfam family: tRNA
About the family: Transfer RNA (tRNA) molecules are approximately 80 nucleotides in length. Their secondary structure includes four short double-helical elements and three loops (D, anti-codon, and T loops).
Source: RNAcentral
GCAUCCGUAGCUCAGCUGGAUAGAGUACUCGGCUACGAACCGGGCGGUCAGGGGUUCGAAUCCCUUCGGAUGCACCA